AUCUGAUUACCAAAACUUGAACUGUAUUCCCUUAUUCUCCAGGUAGGCACCUAAUUACCAAACUUGAAUCAUAUUUCCAUGUCUUCCAGGUGGGUGCCUGAUUACCAAAACUGAAUUGUAUUCCCUUAUUUUCCAUGUGGGCGCUUGAUUACCAAAAUUUGAAUCGUAUUCCAUUGUUCUCCAGGCAGGUGCCUGAUUG
Molecule: long non-coding RNA, 199 nt
Filed under: Nicotiana benthamiana
Lineage: Eukaryota; Viridiplantae; Streptophyta; Magnoliopsida; Solanales; Solanaceae
Description: long non-coding RNA (NBEN_LNC012301)
Source: RNAcentral